This 759-nucleotide ribosomal RNA is filed under the name uncultured Glomeromycotina. Its description in RNAcentral is "SSU rRNA". It matches the Rfam family "Eukaryotic small subunit ribosomal RNA", at positions 338 to 1099 of the family's 1831-position model. The record is from RNAcentral. Lineage: Eukaryota; Fungi; Glomeromycota.
GGCCUACCAUGGUGGUAACGGGUAACGGGGUGUUAGGGCACGACACCGGAGAGGGAGCCUGAGAAACGGCUACCACAUCCAAGGAUGGCAGCAGGCGCGCAAAUUACCCAAUCCCGACACGGGGAGGUAGUGACAAUAAAUAACAAUACGGGGUUCUUUCGGAUUUCGUAAUUGGAAUGAGUACAAUUUAAAUCUCUUAACGAGGAACAAUUGGAGGGCAAGUCCGGUGCCAGCAGCCGCGGCAAUUCCAGCUCCAAUAGCGUAUAUUAAAGUUGCUGCAGUUAAAAAGCUCGUAGUUGAAUUUCGGGACCAAUAUGUCGGUCGUGCCUCGGUACGUACUGGCAUCGUUGGUUUCUCCCUUCUGACGAACCAAGAUGUCAUUUAUUUGGUGUCGUGGGGAAUCAGGACUGUUACUUUGAAAAAAUUAGAGCGUUUAAAGCAGGCUCACGCUUGAAUACAUUAGCAUGGAAUAAUGAAAUAAGACGUUUGAUUCUAUUUUGUUGGUUUCUAGGAUCGACGUAAUGAUUAAUAGGGAUAGUUGGGGGCAUUAGUAUUCAAUUGUCAGAGGUGAAAUUCUUGGAUUUAUUGAAGACUAACUACUGCGAAAGCAUUUGCCAAGGAUGUUUUCAUUAAUCAAGAACGAAAGUUAGGGGAUCGAAGACGAUCAGAUACCGUCGUAGUCUUAACCAUAAACUAUGCCGACUAGGGGUCGGAUGAUGUUAAUUUUUUAAUGACUCAUUCGGCGCCUUACGGGAAACC